GAGUUUGAUCGUGGCUCAGAUUGAACGCUGGCGGCAGGCCUAACACAUGCAAGUCGGGCGGUAGAGAGAAGCUUGCUUCUCUUGAGAGCGGCGGACGGGUGAGUAAUGCCUAGGAAUCUGCCUGGUAGUGGGGGAUAACGCUCGGAAACGGACGCUAAUACCGCAUACGUCCUACGGGAGAAAGCAGGGGACCUUCGGGCCUUGCGCUAUCAGAUGAGCCUAGGUCGGAUUAGCUAGUUGGUGAGGUAAUGGCUCACCAAGGCGACGAUCCGUAACUGGUCUGAGAGGAUGAUCAGUCACACUGGAACUGAGACACGGCCCAGACUCCUACGGGAGGCAGCAGUGGGGAAUAUUGGACAAUGGGCGAAAGCCUGAUCCAGCCAUGCCGCGUGUGUGAAGAAGGUCUUCGGAUUGUAAAGCACUUUAAGUUGGGAGGAAGGGCAGUAAAUUAAUACUUUGCUGUUUUGACGUUACUGACAGAAUAAGCACCGGCUAACUCUGUGCCAGCCGCCG
Molecule: ribosomal RNA, 513 nt
Filed under: uncultured bacterium
Lineage: Bacteria
Description: bacterial SSU rRNA
Rfam family: Bacterial small subunit ribosomal RNA
Source: RNAcentral